UUGCCCCCGUUGACUUGAAAUAACUUGUUCUUCAGACGUAACACGUUAUUUUCUUCUUUUUUUUUUGCAAGACUUUGUUUAUAGGAAGACUCUUUCAUUAGUUUUACUAUCAAACAAAAAAAACGAGGAAGAGAGAAGAUGGAUGGAAGAGGAUGUGGUAAUAUUGCGAAAAUGUGUAUUUGCUUGUCAAUAACGUUGCUGCUUUUGUCAUCUCCUGAGAACUCCUUCGUCUCGGCUCUACCAGCUGAGGAGGCGUAUCAAGCAAAAGGAACAGGCGCACCAAGAAAAGAUGGAGCGAGAAGAAUGAUGAUAGAAAUGACAAGGGCUGGUUGGGUAUCCAGAAGCCGUUCAGAUCGUGGUCGUGGUCCAUGAACUACCGAUUGCAUCAUUUACAAUUAUGCUGAAUGUUUUAUCUCCUACAACUUGUUUUUCUACCUUUGAUCUUUGACCAUCUAUUGUCCGAUUAAUAACUUAGCAAUAAAAUCGCUCUUUGUGAUUUUUUUCUUAAUAAAGUUUUUAAAAAAUCA
Raphanus sativus (radish) is the source of this 527-nucleotide long non-coding RNA. RefSeq lists it as uncharacterized. NCBI's taxonomy places the organism in Eukaryota, Viridiplantae, Streptophyta, Magnoliopsida, Brassicales, Brassicaceae. The record is from RefSeq and is a predicted model, not a curated record. The transcript is spliced from 2 exons.